CCGCAGAUAUCAGGAGCCACACCGAUGGCGAAGGCAGGUCUGUGGGCAUCCACUGACGAUGAGGAGCGAACGCAUGGGGAGCGAACAGGAUUAGAUCCCCUGAUAGUCCACGCCGUAAACGUUGGGCACUAGGUGUGGGGGACAUUCCACGUUUUCCGCGCCGUAGCUAACGCAUUAAGUGCCCCGCCUGGGGAGUACGGCCGCAAGGCUAAAACUCAAAGGAAUUGACGGGGGCCCGCACAAGCGGCGGAGCAUGCGGAUUAAUUCGAUGCAACGCGAAGAACCUUACCAAGGCUUGACAUGUGCCAGACCGCUCCAGAGAUGGGGUUUCCCUUCGGGGCUGGUUCACAGGUGGUGCAUGGUUGUCGUCAGCUCGUGUCGUGAGAUGUUGGGUUAAGUCCCGCAACGAGCGCAACCCUCGUUCCAUGUUGCCAGCACGUAGUGGUGGGGACUCAUGGGAGACUGCCGGGGUCAACUCGGAGGAAGGUGGGGAUGACGUCAAAUCAUCAUGCCCCUUAUGUCUUGGGCUUCACGCAUGCUACAAUGGCCGGUACAAUGGGUUGCGAUACUGUGAGGUGGAGCUAAUCCCUAAAAGCCGGUCUCAGUUCGGAUUGGGGUCUGCAACUCGACCCCAUGAAGUCGGAGUCGCUAGUAAUCGCAGAUCAGCAACGCUGCGGUGAAUACGUUCCCGGGCCUUGUACACACCGCCCGUCAAGUCACGAAAGUUGGUAACACCCGAAGCCGAUGGCCUAACCACCUUGUGUGGGCGG
This 770-nucleotide ribosomal RNA is filed under the name Glutamicibacter nicotianae. Its description in RNAcentral is "bacterial SSU rRNA". It matches the Rfam family "Bacterial small subunit ribosomal RNA", at positions 688 to 1453 of the family's 1533-position model. Lineage: Bacteria; Bacillati; Actinomycetota; Actinomycetes; Micrococcales; Micrococcaceae. The record is from RNAcentral.